Molecule: ribosomal RNA, 339 nt
Filed under: uncultured bacterium
Lineage: Bacteria
Description: bacterial SSU rRNA
Rfam family: Bacterial small subunit ribosomal RNA
Source: RNAcentral
CUAGCGACUUCAGAGUUUGAUCCUGGCUCAGGAUGAACGCUAGCUACAGGCUUAACACAUGCAAGUCGAGGGGUCUUUUGGAGCUUGCUUUAAAAGACGACCGGCGCACGGGUGAGUAACGCGUAUCCAACCUGCCCUUCAUAUUGGGAUAGCCUCUCGAAAGGGAGAUUAAUACCGAAUAACAUAGUUUAGUUGCCUGACCAGACUAUGAAAGCUCCGGCGAUGAAGGAUGGGGAUGCGUUCCAUUAGGUAGUAGGCGGGGUAACGGCCCACCUAGCCAACGAUGGAUAGGGGUUCUGAGAGGAAGGUCCCCCACACUGGAACUGAGACACGGUCCAG